UUCUUUUCGGUGUUCGGCACAGGAAGGUUUGGGCUUCCAGGAGGGAUUAUCCCAUAAGAAA
Molecule: transfer RNA, 61 nt
Filed under: Ellobium chinense
Lineage: Eukaryota; Metazoa; Mollusca; Gastropoda; Ellobiida; Ellobiidae
Description: tRNA-Gln
Source: RNAcentral